Molecule: ribosomal RNA, 495 nt
Filed under: uncultured bacterium
Lineage: Bacteria
Description: bacterial SSU rRNA
Rfam family: Bacterial small subunit ribosomal RNA
Source: RNAcentral
AACGAACGCUGGCGGCGCGUAUUAAGCAUGCAAGUCGAACGGGAGUGAAGCCCUUCGGGGUUUCAUGAGAGUGGCGAACGGGUGAGUAACACGUAGGUGAUCUGCCCUUGGGUGGGGAAUAGCCCAUGGAAACAUGGGGUAAUACCGCAUGAGGUUUUCGGGCGUGAAGCCCGAUGAUGAAAGGAGCAAUUGUUCCGCCUGGGGAUGAGCCUGCGGUCCAUUAGCUAGUUGGUGUGGUAAAGGCGCACCAAGGCGACGAUGGAUAGCCGGCCUGAGAGGGUGAACGGUCACACUGGGACUGAGACACGGCCCAGACUCCUACGGGAGGCAGCAGCUAAGAGUCUUCCGCAAUGGGGGAAACCCUGACGGAGCGACGCCGCGUGGGCGAAGAAGGCCGCAAGGUUGUAAAGCCCUUUUCUUGACGAAGAAUAAGGUCAGGAGUGGAACGCCUGGCCGAUGACGUUAGUCAAGGAAGAAGCCCCGGCCAAUUACGUG